RNAcentral lists this ribosomal RNA (447 nucleotides) under uncultured bacterium. RNAcentral's name for it is "partial 16S ribosomal RNA". It matches the Rfam family "Bacterial small subunit ribosomal RNA", at positions 29 to 523 of the family's 1533-position model. The record is from RNAcentral.
AACGAACGCUGGCGGCAGGCCUAACACAUGCAAGUCGAGCGCCCCGCAAGGGGAGCGGCGGACGGGUGAGUAACGCGUGGGAACGUACCCUUUGCUACGGAAUAGCCUCGGGAAACUGGGAGUAAUACCGUAUGUGCCCUUCGGGGGAAAGAUUUAUCGGCAAAGGAUCGGCCCGCGUUGGAUUAGGUAGUUGGUGGGGUAAUGGCCUACCAAGCCGACGAUCCAUAGCUGGUUUGAGAGGAUGAUCAGCCACACUGGGACUGAGACACGGCCCAGACUCCUACGGGAGGCAGCAGUGGGGAAUCUUAGACAAUGGGCGCAAGCCUGAUCUAGCCAUGCCGCGUGAGCGAUGAAGGCCUUAGGGUUGUAAAGCUCUUUCAGGGGGGAAGAUAAUGACUGUACCCCCAGAAGAAGCCCCGGCUAACUCCGUGCCAGCAGCCGCAGUAA